This 72-nucleotide transfer RNA is filed under the name Camelus ferus (Wild Bactrian camel). It matches the Rfam family "tRNA". Rfam says of the family: Transfer RNA (tRNA) molecules are approximately 80 nucleotides in length. The record is from Rfam by way of RNAcentral. Lineage: Eukaryota; Metazoa; Chordata; Mammalia; Artiodactyla; Camelidae.
GAGGGUAUAGCUCAGUGGUAGAGUGCAUGCUUAGCAUGCAUGAGGUCAUGAGUUUGAGUCCCACUACCUCCG